Molecule: ribosomal RNA, 301 nt
Filed under: uncultured bacterium
Lineage: Bacteria
Description: partial 16S ribosomal RNA
Rfam family: Bacterial small subunit ribosomal RNA
Source: RNAcentral
CGCGCCGCGGUAAUACAGAGGGUGCGAGCGUUAAUCGGAUUUACUGGGCGUAAAGCGUGCGUAGGCGGCUUCUUAAGUCGGAUGUGAAAUCCCUGAGCUUAACUUAGGAAUUGCAUUCGAUACUGGGAAGCUAGAGUAUGGGAGAGGAUGGUAGAAUUCCAGGUGUAGCGGUGAAAUGCGUAGAGAUCUGGAGGAAUACCGAUGGCGAAGGCAGCCAUCUGGCCUAAUACUGACGCUGAGGUACGAAAGCAUGGGGAGCAAACAGGAUUAGAUACCCCCGUAGUCCCUGUCUCUUAUACAC